GCCUCCGACUCCCACCCCCUAAAGCCGACCUUCAUCUUAACUCCUCCCUGACCUGGGUGGCUACUGAAGAGGCGCAUUCCUCACUCUUGUUCCUGGGCCUCAAGGAAGAGGAGAAAAGGUGCACUAGAUAAUGCCCCAACUGAGCAGCUCUGCAGAGGCAGUCACUGAUACAACCAUUUUCAUUUCCUGAUUGGACUCCUGGGAAAAACUCAACUGAUGACCAAGAAAAGAGCCAAGCAGGUGGAAAUCCAUGAGGCCCUUAACAUCAAUCUGGAGACCAGUGCAAGAAAGAUUCUCAAGGUUCUUACCCCCAGGAUCAUGUGACCUUGAACAAGUUAUUUAAUUUUUCUGAGCCUUAGUUUGCACAGUAGAAAUAAAAAAAAUAUCUAUUUCUUGGGUA
Neofelis nebulosa (Clouded leopard) is the source of this 400-nucleotide long non-coding RNA. RefSeq lists it as uncharacterized. Lineage: Eukaryota; Metazoa; Chordata; Mammalia; Carnivora; Felidae. The record is from RefSeq and is a predicted model, not a curated record. The transcript is spliced from 3 exons.